This 133-nucleotide ribosomal RNA is filed under the name Nannospalax galili (Upper Galilee mountains blind mole rat). The record is from RNAcentral. Lineage: Eukaryota; Metazoa; Chordata; Mammalia; Rodentia; Spalacidae.
GUUUAUGGCCAUACCACCCUGAUCACUCCUUAUGUUUUCUGAUCUUGGAAGCUAAGACGGGUUGAGUCUGGUGACUACGUAGAUGGGGGAAAAAUUUAGCUUUCUUCAUUCAAAAUUUUGCUUGUCACAACCC